Molecule: ribosomal RNA, 497 nt
Filed under: uncultured bacterium
Lineage: Bacteria
Description: partial 16S ribosomal RNA
Rfam family: Bacterial small subunit ribosomal RNA
Source: RNAcentral
GAUGAACGCUGGCGGCGUGCCUAAUACAUGCAAGUCGAGCGAACGGACGAGAAGCUUGCUUCUCUGAUGUUAGCGGCGGACGGGUGAGUAACACGUGGAUAACCUACCUAUAAGACUGGGAUAACUUCGGGAAACCGGAGCUAAUACCGGAUAAUAUUUUGAACCGCAUGGUUCAAAAGUGAAAGACGGUCUUGCUGUCACUUAUAGAUGGAUCCGCGCUGCAUUAGCUAGUUGGUAAGGUAACGGCUUACCAAGGCAACGAUGCAUAACCGACCUGAGAGGGUGAUCGGCCACCCUGGACCUGAGACACGGUCCAGACUCCUACGGGAGGCCGCAGUAGGGAAUCUUCCGCAAUGGGCGAAAGCCUGACGGAGCAACGCCGCGUGAGUGAUGAAGGUCUUCGGAUCGUAAAACUCUGUUAUUAGGGAAGAACAUAUGUGUAAGUAACUGUGCACAUCUUGACGGUACCUAAUCAGAAAGCCACGGCUAACUACGUG